CGAACGCUGGUAGCGUGGAUUAGGCAUGCAAGUCGAACGGGAUCCGCGAGGUAGCAAUACUGAGCGGUGAGAGUGGCGGAUUGGGGAGGAACACGUGAGCAACCUGUCCUUGAGUCGGGGAAAACCGCGGGAAACUGCGGCUAAUACCGGAUGUGGCGUCCGACGACAUCGUCGGAGCGCUAAAGGGGGCCCGCAAGGGCUCUCGCUCUUCGAGGGGCUCGCGCACCAUCAGCUUGUUGGCGGGUAACGGCCCACCAAGGCGUACGGUUAGCUGGUCUGAGAGGAUGACCAGCCCCACUGGGACUGAGAUACUGCCCAGACUCCUACGGGAGGCUGCAGUCGAGGAUCAUUUGCAAUGGGCGAAAGCCUGACAAUGCGACGCUGCGUGGAAGGAUGAAGGCCUUCGGGUUGUAAACUCCUGUCAUAUGGGAACAGGCGAGGGGACCCAACACGUCCCUUAGUUGAGUGUACCUUAAGAGGAAUGGGCGGCUAACUCUGUGCCAGCCGCCGC
This 511-nucleotide ribosomal RNA is filed under the name uncultured bacterium. RNAcentral describes it as "bacterial SSU rRNA". It matches the Rfam family "Bacterial small subunit ribosomal RNA", at positions 30 to 518 of the family's 1533-position model. The record is from RNAcentral.